AAGGAGAACGCUGAAAAUCCUUAACAGAGUAGGCA
This 35-nucleotide non-coding RNA is filed under the name unclassified sequences. Its description in RNAcentral is "DUF805b RNA". It matches the Rfam family "DUF805b RNA". From Rfam's summary of the family: Bacteroidetes, Chlorobi (1 example), Proteobacteria. The record is from RNAcentral.